UUGGUGUAGUUGUGUGUUUUUAGACUGCAUAGAGACGUUUCAUGUCAGAAAAAAAACUUUUUAACACAACAAUUUUGUAUUUUGCGUUGGAUAAUGACAUGAGUCAAAACUAAAAAUGUCGCAAAUAUUAUGUCUUCAACUUUUCUAGCAAUUUUUUCAUAGUUUCAUUUUUAAACAACGCUUUUAUAGUAUUUUUACAAGACAAAUGUCGUUUCAAUAUGUAAGGAUUUACUAUGGGCCGUGUGAUUCGUUCCACUCCGCUAUUCACAAGCCCCAGAAGCUGAGAGGACUCAGAGAUAUUCCGCUGCAACAUCAAGAACCUGUGUUUCAACAUGUCACCCGAGAUGGACCCGGUGUGUCGACGCGCUGUGGCUGCCGUGUUGGACUCCUCAAGCAAGCUGCUCCGGGCGCGGAACUACCUCUGGUUCCUGGCGCUCCUCGACGACCAGAUGUUCAGACGGACCACGCACGCGCUCAAAGACUAUUGGCCUUUUGAUUAUGACGAUGAUUUUAAUAUAAAAAAAGUUUAUUAAAGGUUUUUUAAUAUUUU
Leptidea sinapis is the source of this 550-nucleotide long non-coding RNA. RefSeq lists it as uncharacterized. The record is from RefSeq and is a predicted model, not a curated record. NCBI's taxonomy places the organism in Eukaryota, Metazoa, Arthropoda, Insecta, Lepidoptera, Pieridae. The transcript has 2 exons.